GAUGAAGAACGUAGCGAAAUGCGAUAAGUAAUGUGAAUUGCAGAAUUCAGUGAAUCAUCGAAUCUUUGAACGCACAUUGCGCCCGCCAGUAUUCUGGCGGGCAUGCCUGUUCGAGCGUCAUUUCGACCAUCAAGCCCCCGGCUUGUGUUGGGGACCUGCGGCUGCCCGCAGGCCCUGAAAACCAGUGGCGGGCUCGCUGUCACUCCGAGCGUAGUAGCAUAUAUCUCGCUCAGGGCGUGCUGCGGGUUCCGGCCGUUAAAAGCCUUUUUUUACCCAAGGUUGACCUCGGAUCAGGUAGGAAGACCCGCUGAACUUAAGCAUAUCAAUAAGCGGAGGA
RNAcentral lists this unclassified non-coding RNA (337 nucleotides) under soil metagenome. RNAcentral describes it as "partial contains 5.8S ribosomal RNA, internal transcribed spacer 2, and large subunit ribosomal RNA". The stretch from base 1 to 120 matches the Rfam family "5.8S ribosomal RNA", at positions 35 to 154 of the family's 154-position model. The record is from RNAcentral.